GGAGGAAGGAGACCGCAGGACAAAAACCAUAGACACACAAGUGCCUACGAGUGCGCACGCGCGCAAGGAAACGCAUGCGAUUGAGCUUUCUUUUUUUUCCCCUUCUCGGCUUUGGCGGACUACUUCCCGAAGACUUUCUUAAGGGUAUCCUUGCCCUUGAUUAAUGAACAUUUUGAUGACUUGUCAUUACGUGAACGAUAAAAUGCGAAUAUCAAUCAGCACUUAAAUAAUACACGCCGGUUAAAAUCAAAAGGGCGAUUUUUAAAAAUUCGUUACUUUUUCCAUUCUUACAAUUUAAAAACGUCAGAACGAAUGUUGUAAUCCUGUGGGACGGUUGGAAAUGGACCCAUUGCUGACCAGUGGGGGUUGCUCCCAGUUCUGUCUGGUUCUUUAGAACCAGUAGUAAAAGUGGCAGGAGGCUCCGCCCACCCACCCAGAUAUUAUAAUUGACGAUCUGCGCAUGUACAGAAGCGCGCAUGCGCUCCUAUUGCAAACCGGUACUAAAGAACCAACUAUUACCAGGAAAGGAAUCAGCAGUCAAGAAAUAUGCUGCAGACCUGCACUUUGCAAAGUAGCAGUGAAGACCUUGGAGAAGAUAUUCAAAUGCCAUGAUGCUUACAAAUAUCAGAAUUGUGCAGACAAUGCUUUUCCUUGUGACACUCUAUGGAAGCAAAAGUUGGACUUUGAAAAAGCAGAAUAGAAAGAACUUUGAUGCUUUUGAACAUUAGUACUGAAGAAGACUCUUUAGAAUAUCUUGGAUAGAUAAGAAAAUAAACAAAACGGAUCAUCAAACUAA
Non-coding RNA from Pantherophis guttatus, 796 nucleotides. The record is from RefSeq and is a predicted model, not a curated record. NCBI's taxonomy places the organism in Eukaryota, Metazoa, Chordata, Lepidosauria, Squamata, Colubridae.